Molecule: ribosomal RNA, 253 nt
Filed under: uncultured bacterium
Lineage: Bacteria
Description: partial 16S ribosomal RNA
Rfam family: Bacterial small subunit ribosomal RNA
Source: RNAcentral
UACAGAGGAUGCAAGCGUUAUCCGGAAUUAUUGGGCGUAAAGAGUCCGUAGGGGGCUAAUCAAGUCUGUCGUUAAAGACCGCAGCUUAACUGCGGGCAAGCGAUGGAAACUGAAGAGCUAGAGAGCAGUAGGGGCAGAGGGAAUUCCCAGUGUAGCGGUGAAAUGCGUAGAGAUUGGGAAGAACAUCGGUGGCGAAAGCGCUCUGCUGGGCUGAAUCUGACCCUGAGGGACGAAAGCUAGGGGAGCAAAAGGG